AUGGGGUACGUGGGGUGUGCAGGGUGCAUGGGGCGUGCAAGGGUGCACGGGGCGGUGUUCAUGCUCCUUGCCACAUGGCACUACUGGGAGAGCGCUGGGGGAACACUGGGUAGCGCUAUCACAACACUGGGAGCACUGGGAGGGCACUGGGCAGCCUGGCUGUGGUGUCAGGCCUGGGUCCCAGGGACCCCACACAUCCCGGGGGUGUCCCCCUCCCCACUCCCCCCCCGUUUUACCCCUGGGCACAGCUCGGAGCAGGCGCUCAGCCAGGUGGCACGGGCCGGGCUGCGGGCGCACGGCGGUGCCGUGCCGGACCCUACCCAGCAGCCAGACCACCCUGACCCCCACCCGCUGCCCCCCCCAGGUGGAGGUGGAGGUGGAGAGCAUGGACAAGGCGGGGAACUUCAUCGGCUGGCUGCACAUCGAGGGCGUCAACCUGUCGGUGGCCCUGGUGGAGCACGCGCUCUCCAAGGUGCACUUCACCGCCGAGCGCAGCCCCUACUCCAAGGCGCUGCUGGCCGCCGAGGAGGCCGCCAAGCAGAGGAAGGAGAAGGUGAGCGACCCCCCCUUUUGUGCCACCACCCCGGCCCCAAACCCCCCCCCGGGGGACACAUCUUGGUGGCGGUGGGCUGGGUGCCCGCCCCAGCGCCGUUUUUCCCCCCCCCUCCUGUCCCCAGGUGUGGUCCCACUACGAGGAGACGCCGGUGGAGGAGGUGGUGCCGGUGCUGGAGGAGAAGGAGCGCACGGCCAACUACAAGCCCGUCUUCGUCACGGAGAUCACCGACGACCUGCACUUCUACGUGCAGGACGUGGAGACAGGUGAGGGGUGGCGGGGAGGAACUGGGGGGGGGGUCACCGUGGGGCUGGGGUCGCUGCUCCGUGCCCCUUCCCUGUGCGGCGACCCGCUGCUCGCCCCCACCUGCAGCUGAAGGUGGCUGCUUUCUUUAAAAAAUACUGCUUUUGUUAAAAAAAAGGCUGCUGAAAUUUAAAAAUUUAAAAAGUGAGCUGUGGCGUGGAGCACUCGCUGCCCGGUGUCCCCAAGACCCCAAUGAGGUCCCCAUGAGGGCAGCACCUGCAGCAGGACGGGGGGUUGGGGACAGGGACGGGGACAGGGCGCGGUGCUGCACCCCCUGCCUGGCACGGCGUGGGGCACCCUCGUCCCCAUGUCCCCGGGGUGCCCGGGGGGGGGUGGCACCGGUGUCGCCACCCCAUAACCCAGCUCUGCACAGCUCGUGGUUGGCAGCAGGGUCUCGGCCACCACGAUGUCCCCACCCCAUGUCCCCACCGUGGGUGGCUUUGUGUCAUCGGGCUGAGGACGCUGGGUUUUGGCGAGCAGCCCCAAACUCGCACCCCCAGCCCCGGGUGGGACUCGAGCAGCCCCUGGGUGCCCCCGUC
This 1395-nucleotide long non-coding RNA is filed under the name Anas platyrhynchos platyrhynchos (common mallard). RNAcentral's name for it is "lncRNA (ENSAPLG00000025256.1)". Lineage: Eukaryota; Metazoa; Chordata; Aves; Anseriformes; Anatidae. The record is from RNAcentral.